GAGGCGAACCAGGGGAACUGAAACAUCUAAGUACCCUGAGGAAAAGAAAUCAACCGAGAUUCCCUAAGUAGCGGCGAGCGAACGGGGACCAGCCCUUAAGCUGAACAACCGGUAGGAGAAGGCUCUGGAAAGUGCCGCCAUAGUGGGUGAUAGCCCCGUAUCCGAAACCCGAGUUCAGUGAAAACGAGUAGGUCGGCGCACGUGAAACGUUGACUGAAGAUGGGGGGACCAUCCUCCAAGGCUAAAUACUCCUGACUGACCGAUAGUGAACCAGUACCGUGAGGGAAAGGCGAAAAGAACCCCUGUGAGGGGAGUGAAAUAGAUCCUGAAACCGUAUGCGUACAAGCAGUCGGAGCACCUUCGGGUGUGACGGCGUACCUUUUGUAUAAUGGGUCAGCGACUUAUGUUCAGUGGCGAGGUUAACCGUCUAGGGGAGCCGUAGGGAAACCGAGUCUGAAUAGGGCGACUUAGUCGCUGGGCAUAGACCCGAAACCGGGCGAUCUAUCCAUGAGCAGGUUGAAGGUGCCGUAACAGGCACUGGAGGACCGAACCCACUGUCGUUGAAAAGCCAGGGGAUGACUUGUGGAUCGGAGUGAAAGGCUAAUCAAGCCCGGAGAUAGCUGGUUCUCCCCGAAAGCUAUUUAGGUAGCGCCUCGGACGAAUACCACUGGGGGUAGAGCACUGUUUGGGCUAGGGGGUCAUCCCGACUUACCAACCCCAUGCAAACUCCGAAUACCAGUGAGUACUAUCCGGGAGACACACGGCGGGUGCUAACGUCCGUCGUGAAGAGGGAAACAACCCAGACCGCCAGCUAAGGUCCCCAAGUACCAGUUAAGUGGGAAACGAUGUGGGAAGGCUCAGACAGCUAGGAGGUUGGCUUAGAAGCAGCCACCCUUUAAAGAAAGCGUAAUAGCUCACUAGUCGAGUCGGCCUGCGCGGAAGAUGUAACGGGGCUCAAACUGGUCACCGAAGCUGCGGCUGCAUACGUUGUAUGCGGGGUAGGGGAGCGUUCUGUAAGCCUGCGAAGGUGUGU
This 1033-nucleotide ribosomal RNA is filed under the name Marinobacter lutaoensis. RNAcentral describes it as "partial 23S ribosomal RNA". It matches the Rfam family "Bacterial large subunit ribosomal RNA", at positions 176 to 1261 of the family's 2925-position model. Lineage: Bacteria; Pseudomonadati; Pseudomonadota; Gammaproteobacteria; Pseudomonadales; Marinobacteraceae. The record is from RNAcentral.